Molecule: long non-coding RNA, 959 nt
Filed under: Cricetulus griseus (Chinese hamster)
Lineage: Eukaryota; Metazoa; Chordata; Mammalia; Rodentia; Cricetidae
Description: lncRNA (ENSCGRG00015037094.1)
Source: RNAcentral
CUAACUUCCUGAAUAAAUGAGUCUACAGCAUGCUCUGUUACUCCCUGACUCCUGGUGCCUGAGUCCUUGGUGCUGCAUCUUCUUACCCCCUCCCCCAAGGGGUGUCCGAGUAGGGUAACCACAAUAUUUGGCGUCUAAACGUGGGGUUCGGCCCUACUUGAAUCAGGGUGUAUUCUUAUUUUCCGUCGCCGAGGCUGUUUUUUAUUUGGGCCCUGAUCUUUGACUUUUGUUGGUGGUGGUGCAUCGUCGGAUCCUACGUUGGUGCACUUUCACUUUUUCUGUCUGCACCCUUUCAGACUCCUCUUUACUCUUCGGCACUCCCUCUUCCAGUGACUUGUUCCAUGAGUUCCCUGCCUGUUUUAUGUCCUUGGUCCUCGCAAAGUGUAUUUCCACACUCUAGGUUCUCAUGGCACUUCGACACCCAGAACGUGGCCCUGCUUGGGAGGUCUCUUGGGCCUGGCUCACAGAAAUUCCUGAGGCAUCAGUUUGACAGGCACUCCUCCCACCCUGGCAUGCUUCCCAGAGAUGUCAUCCUUCAAGGGCUGGUAGUCAAUGACCGGUAAGGACCUGUGAGGCAGGCCAACCUAAAACAGGCAUGGUCCAUCAUGCGGGAUGCUCUCCGAGGCAGGGACAACAAGGCCAAAGCUAGAACUUGGACUCCCGCUAAGCUGAAUUAGAAAAAAAGGGGGGGGGUAGAUAUGUAGGAGAAACUGCGGCCAGCCUACCCAAGCUGCAAUUGCCCUGCCCCUGGUGCCCAGGCCAGACCACAUGUGCAUGUGCAGCAGGCACUUCCUCCCUGAGCCAAGCUACCAAGUCUGCUUUAACGCACAGAGACUGCUGAUGGAGAGACAUAUGACCCAAAGACACCAAUGAGAAAAGGACAUACAACAGAGUCAGCCGCCUGAGCCAAUGGGACCUUGGGAGGGUGUAUAAAGGCAGGUCUAGCUUCCUUAAUAAAG